This 253-nucleotide ribosomal RNA is filed under the name uncultured bacterium. RNAcentral's name for it is "partial 16S ribosomal RNA". It matches the Rfam family "Bacterial small subunit ribosomal RNA", at positions 524 to 776 of the family's 1533-position model. The record is from RNAcentral.
UACGUAGGGACCAAGCGUUGUUCGGAUUUACUGGGCGUAAAGGGCGCGUAGGCGGCUUAACAAGUCACUUGUGAAAUCUCCGGGCUUAACUCGGAACGGCCAAGUGAAACUGUCAAGCUAGAGUGCAGAAGGGGCAAUCGGAAUUCUUGGUGUAGCGGUGAAAUGCGUAGAUAUCAGGAGGAACACCGGUGGCGAAGGCGGCUUUCUGGACAGAUACCGACGCUGAGGCACGAAAGCUAGGGGAGCAAACAGG